GUUGGGGACCAAAGCGGAGGAGGAGGAGGCCUCCCCCCUCAACCGGCCUCCCCACCUUAUCUCCCUAUGAAUGAAGGAGGAGGGGUGGCCGGCCUGCUCGGGGAGAGGAGGGGGCGCCUCAAGGCUUCUCCAGAGGGACUACUUGACGUGUCGGUGCAGCGAAUUUAUUUCCCUUUGCCUAAGGAACGGGCUGUGGUGCGGCACCCAUUGCCUAGGGAAAAAACCCGGAUGUAAAAAAGGAAGAAGAUGAGUCUCUGGAUGGUUCCCUGGAAGAAGACAAGUGAAAUCCCAGACAACAAUAUUUUCACCCAAAACCCAAGAUGAGGAGGGAAAUGGCUGCCCUGAUCUUUGAGAAGACCCUGAGAGAGGCUCUUUCUCCCCUGAAAGAGACACAGAUGGUAACAGCUGAACAGAUCCAAGAAAGGAGACAAACUUUGCUAAGCACCCUGGUUGCAACUCCAGCACAUUCCUUUCUUUUCACUCUCUUGAUAAGCCCAGAAAUGGGGGAGGGAAAUGGAGUUGGGGGGGGGGGGAGAAAGUGAAGCAGUUAGUAGGAGUGUUAGAGGGAAAUAGUCUCUGGAGGGGAGAGAUUUAGGAGUAAACCUGAUACUAGGUAAAAAUAGGGAUGUUGUAAAUACGUAUUGUAAAUUACCUAUUGUAAAAAGUUUCAUUGUAUAUAAUAAAAAAGCAUAAAAGUC
Long non-coding RNA from Crotalus tigris (Tiger rattlesnake), 698 nucleotides. RefSeq lists it as uncharacterized. The transcript has 2 exons. The record is from RefSeq and is a predicted model, not a curated record. Lineage: Eukaryota; Metazoa; Chordata; Lepidosauria; Squamata; Viperidae.